GGAUGCGAUCAUACCAGCACUAAAGCACCGGAUCCCAUCAGAACUCCGAAGUUAAGCGUGCUUGGGCGAGAGUAGUACUAGGAUGGUUGACCUCCUGGGAAGUCCUCGUGUUGCAUUCC
Non-coding RNA from Triticum aestivum (bread wheat), 119 nucleotides. The record is from Rfam. NCBI's taxonomy places the organism in Eukaryota, Viridiplantae, Streptophyta, Magnoliopsida, Poales, Poaceae.